This 468-nucleotide ribosomal RNA is filed under the name uncultured bacterium. RNAcentral's name for it is "partial 16S ribosomal RNA". It matches the Rfam family "Bacterial small subunit ribosomal RNA", at positions 28 to 507 of the family's 1533-position model. The record is from RNAcentral.
GACGAACGCUGGCGGCGUGCUUAACACAUGCAAGUCGAACGGAAAGGCCCGGCUUUUGUGGGGUGCUCGAGUGGCGAACGGGUGAGUAACACGUGAGUAACCUGCCCUUGACUUUGGGAUAACUUCAGGAAACUGGGGCUAAUACCGGAUAGGAGCUCCUGCUGCAUGGUGGGGGUGGGAAAGUUUCGGCGGUUGGGGAUGGACUCGCGACUUAUCAGCUUGUUGGUGGGGUAGUGGCUUACCAAGGCUUUGACGGGUAGCCGGCCUGAGAGGGUGACCGGCCACAAUGGCACUGGGAUAGGGGCAAGACUCAAACGGGGGGCAGGGGUGGGAAUUUUUGCACAAUGGGCCGAAGCAGUAUACAGCAGUGUCGGGUGCGGGAUCACGGUUUUCAGGGUGUAAACCGCUUUCGCCUGUGACGAAGCGUGAGUGACGGUAACGGGUAAAGAAGCACCGGCUAACUACGUG